UACGUAGGGUGCAAGCGUUGUCCGGAAUUAUUGGGCGUAAAGAGCUCGUAGGCGGUUUGUCGCGUCGUUCGUGAAAACUCACAGCUUAACUGUGAGCUUGCGGUCGAUACGGGCAGGCUAGAGUUCGGUAGGGGAGACUGGAAUUCCUGGUGUAGCGGUGAAAUGCGCAGAUAUCAGGAGGAACACCGGUGGCGAAGGCGGGUCUCUGGGCCGAUACUGACGCUGAGGAGCGAAGCGUGGGAGCGAACAGG
Molecule: ribosomal RNA, 251 nt
Filed under: uncultured bacterium
Lineage: Bacteria
Description: partial 16S ribosomal RNA
Rfam family: Bacterial small subunit ribosomal RNA
Source: RNAcentral